CCUACGGGAGGCAGCAGUGGGGAAUAUUGCGCAAUGGGGGGAACCCUGACGCAGCCAUGCCGCGUGAAUGAAGAAGGCCUUCGGGUUGUAAAGUUCUUUCGGUAUUGAGGAAGGGAUGUGUGCUAAUAGUACAUGUCAUUGACGUUAAAUACAGAAGAAGCACCGGCUAACUCCGUGCCAGCAGCCGCGGUAAUACGGAGGGUGCGAGCGUUAAUCGGAAUAACUGGGCGUAAAGGGCACGCAGGCGGUUAUUUGAGUGAGGUGUGAAAGCCCCGGGCUUAACCUGGGAAUAGCAUUUCAGACUG
Molecule: ribosomal RNA, 305 nt
Filed under: uncultured bacterium
Lineage: Bacteria
Description: bacterial SSU rRNA
Rfam family: Bacterial small subunit ribosomal RNA
Source: RNAcentral